UGUAUGUAAAAGUGGUUCAUGGU
RNAcentral lists this non-coding RNA (23 nucleotides) under Arabidopsis thaliana (thale cress). Lineage: Eukaryota; Viridiplantae; Streptophyta; Magnoliopsida; Brassicales; Brassicaceae. The record is from RNAcentral.